GGUGGGGUUUCAUGGCUCUUUUUGCUGCGGGGAAAAAAAGUAUUUCAAUUACAGAAAGAUGCCAAGAAUGAACUUGAGCUACUCCUAUUUGUCAGUGUAGCAUUUCACUUCUCUCUAUGGUGUACUUCUAAUUUAUUAGAUACUCCAUAAAUUGAAGGGAUUGGAAUGGUGAGAUUGGAAAAGUAAUUGGGUGGUGCUUUCACAAUUACAUUUUUGGUUUAAUUUUCACCUAGAAUGAUUCAGUUUGCUGUUUUGUAACCAUUUCCUAGUCUACAAAAGCAAAAUAAGCCAGUCCCCUGAUAUUCAUGGAAAAAAAUGUAAAGUUCUUCUAAAGAAUUCCCAUAUAAUACAUAUAUUUUAAAGUUCAACCAUGUGGAACGAUAUCAGGUGAGCGUCCCUAUCAAUGUCCUUACUGUGAAAAAGGAUUCAGUAAAAAUGAUGGACUGAAGAUGCACAUUCGUACUCACACCAGGGAGAAGCCGUACAAGUGCUCAGAGUGCAGCAAGGCCUUCAGCCAGAAGCGAGGCCUGGAUGAGCACAAGAGGACGCACACUGGAGAAAAGCCUUUUCAGUGUGAUGUUUGUGACUUGGCUUUUAGCCUGAAGAAAAUGCUGAUUCGACACAAGAUGACUCAUAAUCCCAAUCGUCCCCUGGCAGAAUGCCAGUUUUGCCAUAAGAAGUUUACGAGGAAUGACU
RNAcentral lists this small RNA (696 nucleotides) under Pan troglodytes (chimpanzee). RNAcentral describes it as "processed transcript". Lineage: Eukaryota; Metazoa; Chordata; Mammalia; Primates; Hominidae. The record is from RNAcentral.